RNAcentral lists this ribosomal RNA (278 nucleotides) under uncultured bacterium. Its description in RNAcentral is "partial 16S ribosomal RNA". It matches the Rfam family "Bacterial small subunit ribosomal RNA", at positions 28 to 311 of the family's 1533-position model. The record is from RNAcentral.
GACGAACGCUGGCGGCGCGCCUUACGCAUGCAAGUCGAACGGAGUACUCCUUCGGGGGUGCUCAGUGGCAGACGGGUGAGUAACACGUAGGUAACCUGCCCAAGAGUGGGGAAUAACUCUCCGAAAGGAGAGCUAAUACCGCAUACGAUGGCCUCGUACAUCGAGGUUCUGAAAGCAGCAAUGCGCUCUUGGGAGGGGCCCGCGGCCCAUCAGCUAGUUGGCGGGGAACGCCCACCAAGGCUACGACGGGUAGCUGGUCUGAGAGGACGACCAGCCAC